This 506-nucleotide ribosomal RNA is filed under the name uncultured bacterium. RNAcentral describes it as "partial 16S ribosomal RNA". It matches the Rfam family "Bacterial small subunit ribosomal RNA", at positions 30 to 523 of the family's 1533-position model. The record is from RNAcentral.
AUUGAACGCUGGCGGCAGGCCUAACACAUGCAAGUCGAACGGUAACAGGAAGCAGCUCGCUGCUUCGCUGACGAGUGGCGGACGGGUGAGUAAUGUCUGGGAAACUGCCUGAUGGAGGGGGAUAACUACUGGAAACGGUAGCUAAUACCGCAUAGCGUCGCAAGACCAAAGAGGGGGACCUUCGGGCCUCUUGCCAUCGGAUGUGCCCAGAUGGGAUUAGCUAGUAGGUGGGGUAACGGCUCACCUAGGCGACGAUCCCUAGCUGGUCUGAGAGGAUGACCAGCCACACUGGAACUGAGACACGGUCCAGACUCCUACGGGAGGCAGCAGUGGGGAAUAUUGCACAAUGGGCGCAAGCCUGAUGCAGCCAUGCCGCGUGUAUGGAGAAGGCCUUCGGGUUGUAAAGUACUUUCAGCGGGGAGGAAGGCGAUAAGGUUAAUAACCUUGUCGAUUGACGUUACCCGCAGAAGAAGCACCGGCUAACUCCGUACCAGCCGCCGCCGUAA